GAGAAAUCAGUGAUGGAGAGAGAGAUUUAUUUUGUUGUGCCAAGAUGUUUUAUUUGUUACCGGUAUUUCCAGAAGAACAGGGUAAAUAUUAAAACUCGCGCGAUCGGUACAUGGAUCCGUGAGCAAUCUGAAACACAAAUAGAAACAAUAAUUGAAUAUCUGCUCGAUUGGAUACGAAUCUUCAGUCGAAAGUCUGUCUUAGUUCUUCGAUAAGGAUGUUUAGAAUUAUAUUUGUAUUUACCUGAUGAUUCUCCUCUAGGACCCAAUACUGAUGAAGGUCUCGGCUUCGGUUUGGCUUCUUCUAUUAUUUCUUUCUUUUCCCCU
Long non-coding RNA from Cylas formicarius (sweet potato weevil), 324 nucleotides. RefSeq lists it as uncharacterized. The transcript is spliced from 3 exons. The record is from RefSeq and is a predicted model, not a curated record. NCBI's taxonomy places the organism in Eukaryota, Metazoa, Arthropoda, Insecta, Coleoptera, Brentidae.